GCCUCCUAGCCCUGAGGACAGCC
RNAcentral lists this non-coding RNA (23 nucleotides) under Cricetulus griseus (Chinese hamster). Lineage: Eukaryota; Metazoa; Chordata; Mammalia; Rodentia; Cricetidae. The record is from RNAcentral.